Molecule: ribosomal RNA, 253 nt
Filed under: uncultured bacterium
Lineage: Bacteria
Description: partial 16S ribosomal RNA
Rfam family: Bacterial small subunit ribosomal RNA
Source: RNAcentral
UACGUAGGGGGCAAGCGUUGUCCGGAAUUACUGGGCGUAAAGCGCGCGUAGGCGGCUUUGUAAGUUAGAGGUGAAAGCCCGGAGCUUAACUCCGGAAUUGCCUUUAAGACUGCAUCGCUAGAAUCAUGGAGAGGUGAGUGGAAUUCCGAGUGUAGAGGUGAAAUUCGUAGAUAUUCGGAAGAACACCAGUGGCGAAGGCGACUCACUGGACAUGUAUUGACGCUGAGGUGCGAAAGCGUGGGGAGCAAACAGG